RNAcentral lists this ribosomal RNA (328 nucleotides) under uncultured bacterium. Its description in RNAcentral is "bacterial SSU rRNA". It matches the Rfam family "Bacterial small subunit ribosomal RNA", at positions 28 to 334 of the family's 1533-position model. The record is from RNAcentral.
GACGAACGCUGGCGGCGUGCCUAAUACAUGCAAGUCGAACGCUUCUUUCCUCCCGAGUGCUUGCACUCAAUUGGAAAGAGGAGUGGCGGACGGGUGGGUAACACGUGGGUAACCUACCCAUCAGAGGGGGAUAACACUUGGAAACAGGUGCUAAUACCGCAUAACAGUUUAUGCCGCAUGGCAUAAGAGUGAAAGGCGCUUUCGGGUGUCGCUGAUGGAUGGACCCGCGGUGCAUUAGCUAGUUGGUGAGGUAACGGCCCACCAAGGCAAUGAUGUUUAGCGGGGUUGAGAGACUGAACCGCCACACUGGGACUGAGAUACGGCCCAG